This 253-nucleotide ribosomal RNA is filed under the name uncultured bacterium. Its description in RNAcentral is "partial 16S ribosomal RNA". It matches the Rfam family "Bacterial small subunit ribosomal RNA", at positions 524 to 776 of the family's 1533-position model. The record is from RNAcentral.
UACAGAGGGUGCAAGCGUUAAUCGGAAUUACUGGGCGUAAAGCGUGCGUAGACGGUUACAUAAGUCGGGUGUGAAAGCCCCGGGCUCAACCUGGGAAUUGCAUUCGAGACUGCGUAGCUAGGGUGCGGAAGAGGGAAGCGGAAUUUCCGGUGUAGCGGUGAAAUGCGUAGAUAUCGGAAGGAACACCAGUGGCGAAAGCGGCUUUCUGGACAUUUACUGACGCUGAGACGCGAAAGCGUGGGGAGCAAACAGG